AGUGAACGCUGGCGGUGGGCCUAACACAUGCAAGUCGAACGGCAGCACAGUAAGAGCUUGCUCUUACGGGUGGCGAGUGGCGGACGGGUGAGGAAUACAUCGGAAUCUACUUUUUCGUGGGGGAUAACGUAGGGAAACUUACGCUAAUACCGCAUACGACCUACGGGUGAAAGCAGGGGAUCUUCGGACCUUGCGCGAUUGAAUGAGCCGAUGUCGGAUUAGCUAGUUGGCGGGGUAAAGGCCCACCAAGGCGACGAUCCGUAGCUGGUCUGAGAGGAUGAUCAGCCACACUGGAACUGAGACACGGUCCAGACUCCUACGGGAGGCAGCAGUGGGGAAUAUUGGACAAUGGGCGCAAGCCUGAUCCAGCCAUACCGCGUGGGUAAAGAAGGCCUUCGGGUUGUAAAGCCCUUUUGUUGGGAAAGAAAAGCAGCAGGUUAAUACCCCGCUGUUCUGACGGUACCCAAAGAAUAAGCACCGGCUAACUUCGUG
This 492-nucleotide ribosomal RNA is filed under the name uncultured bacterium. Its description in RNAcentral is "partial 16S ribosomal RNA". It matches the Rfam family "Bacterial small subunit ribosomal RNA", at positions 29 to 507 of the family's 1533-position model. The record is from RNAcentral.